This 253-nucleotide ribosomal RNA is filed under the name uncultured bacterium. RNAcentral's name for it is "partial 16S ribosomal RNA". It matches the Rfam family "Bacterial small subunit ribosomal RNA", at positions 524 to 776 of the family's 1533-position model. The record is from RNAcentral.
UACAGAGGUCUCAAGCGUUGUCCGGAUUCAUUGGGCGUAAAGGGUGCGUAGGUGGCGCCGUAAGUCAGGUGUGAAAUUUCGGAGCUUAACUCCGAAACUGCAUUUGAUACUGCGGUGCUUGAGGACUGGAGAGGAGACUGGAAUUUACGGUGUAGCAGUGAAAUGCGUAGAGAUCGUAAGGAAGACCAGUGGCGAAGGCGGGUCUCUGGACAGUUCCUGACACUGAGGCACGAAGGCCAGGGGAGCAAACGGG